Molecule: ribosomal RNA, 508 nt
Filed under: uncultured bacterium
Lineage: Bacteria
Description: partial 16S ribosomal RNA
Rfam family: Bacterial small subunit ribosomal RNA
Source: RNAcentral
GACGAACGCUGGCGGCGUGCCUAAUACAUGCAAGUCGAACGCUUCUUUCCUCCCGAGUGCUUGCACUCAAUUGGAAAGAGGAGUGGCGGACGGGUGAGUAACACGUGGGUAACCUACCCAUCAGAGGGGGAUAACACUUGGAAACAGGUGCUAAUACCGCAUAACAGUUUAUGCCGCAUGGCAUAAGAGUGAAAGGCGCUUUCGGGUGUCGCUGAUGGAUGGACCCGCGGUGCAUUAGCUAGUUGGUGAGGUAACGGCUCACCAAGGCCACGAUGCAUAGCCGACCUGAGAGGGUGAUCGGCCACACUGGGACUGAGACACGGCCCAGACUCCUACGGGAGGCCGCAGUAGGGAAUCUUCGGCAAUGGACGAAAGUCUGACCGAGCAACGCCGCGUGAGUGAAGAAGGUUUUCGGAUCGUAAAACUCUGUUGUUAGAGAAGAACAAGGACGUUAGUAACUGAACGUCCCCUGACGGUAUCUAACCAGAAAGCCACGGCUAACUACGUG